Long non-coding RNA from Homo sapiens (human), 1566 nucleotides. Ensembl annotates it as long intergenic non-protein coding RNA 2251. The record is from Ensembl. Lineage: Eukaryota; Metazoa; Chordata; Mammalia; Primates; Hominidae.
ACACUACAAGGCUGUUUACCAAGCCUGCUGGAGCCUCUGAAGGGCAGCAGCCAGCUCACCCCCCAUGCCCUGGAUGGCAACAAGGCACAGGAGACCGCAGAGCAUACAAACAGGGCAAGAGGAAACCAUCUAUCAAUGACCAGGGACCAGAGGAAGCAAAGUUCUAACAUCUCGCUCACGUUCUCCCAAGGCCCAGAGCACUCCUCUUCUUGGUGGAUACCAAUGCACUUUGAGAAGAAGCAGGAAUGCAUGUAUUUCUAAACAAUGAACUUUGGAGAAAUUAACAGGCAAAGGAUCAAGUACUACUAAUAUAAAAAUGAAAAGAUGAUACCAGGCAAAGUAAAACCUGGGUUGUGGUGACAGCAGCACUCGUGUCUGACGUCUGAUGCAGACCCUUCCAUGAAGGCUGACACCCAGAGGAAGCACAGCCUCCCCUCUGAAGCUUCCUCUACUGCAGUCUCUGUGCUCAUCGCAAGGAUCUCUCCAUAUUGACUUAUAUUUGUUUCUGGUCUUAUAUUUUUCUCUAUGGACAGACUUCUAUUUUCAGAAGAUAGAUAUUUAAGUCACAAUAUUCUGGACUCUGGCUUAGUUAGACCAACCGUCUCUUGAUCGUCUGUGGAAACUGAAUCAGGAACACCCCAGAGAGCUGGCUCUGGAUGUAAUUCACAGCUUCAUUUAAUUAUUAUCAUCAAAGUUAAUGAAGGCCAUAAACUGUUUCAUAACAUACCAAUGGGAAGUGUGAUUGGAGGGAAAGCUGGACACCUCACCAUAAAACUGGCACAGCAGAAACGGCUCGACUUAACAAAACCUUCUUAUGAAGAAAAAGACAAUGAAACCAUGUUCAGUUUAGUGAACCUUUCACACUUGGCAACAUGAAUGUUAAGUCAAAAGAACAAUGGAGCUAUGAGUUUUUUUAAUCAAAUUUUUAUUUUGGGUCAAAUAAGCCAUUUUGUUUGUUUGUUAUUAAGUGUAAAGAGAGCUUUCGGUUAGCUAUUUAGUUAUAACUUUAUCUCACCCACUUCUAAAAAAGCGUUGAGGCUACUUGAAGUAAAGUCCUGUAGACGAGAGAGCGUAACACUAAAAGAUAGAAAGAAAACUUAGAAGAUGGAAGAGAAAUAAUUGCACUAGAAACCUGGCCAAUAUCAUGAACAGGCUCCAUAUAGGGACUCCUGUAUAUAGAUCGCUGUGUGUGUGGAUAGUACGUUCAAUAAAUGUAUUAUCUGAACUGCUUUUAAAGUUCUACUCUUGGAUUCCUGAAAUACUAUCUCUAUGGAUUUGCCUAUUCUGGAUGCUUCAUAUAGAUGGAAUCAUUCAUUACGCAACCCUUUGUAUCUGGCUUCUUUCAUUUAGCAUGAGGCUUUCCAGGUUCAUCCAUAUCAUAAGAAGUAUCAGUAUUUUACUCCACUUUAAAGUUCUGUAAUAGUUACUAUCUAUCUAUUUGGUAUACAUACAUGUAUAUAUUAAUUUUGCUUAUCCAUUUAUUCAUUUAUGAACAUUUGGAUUGUUUCUACCUCUUGGAAUUGUAAAUCAUGCUGUUAUGAACAUGGAUGUACACAUACCUGCUUG